CGUCAUCGUCGACGACGAGGGUGACGAUGGUUACUCGGGUGAGCCGGAGACCACCGGUGUUUCCGAAGCGGUCGUUCAACUCGUCGGUGACGC
RNAcentral lists this transfer RNA (93 nucleotides) under Mycetocola manganoxydans. Its description in RNAcentral is "tRNA-Pro". The record is from RNAcentral. Lineage: Bacteria; Bacillati; Actinomycetota; Actinomycetes; Micrococcales; Microbacteriaceae.